UUUAGGGUUUAGGGUUCGGAUUAGGGUUUGGAUUAGGAUUUAGUUUAGGAUUUGGAUUAGAUUUUGGUUUAGGGUUUGGUUUAGGAUUUAGGGUUUGGAUUAGGAUUUGAUUUAGGAUUUGAUUAGGGUUUGAUUUAGGAUUUAGAAUUUGGUUAAGGUUUGAUUUAGGAUUUGGUUAUAGUUUGAUUUAGGAUUUAGGAUUUUAUUAGGAUUUAAGAUUCAAUUAGUUUGGCUUAAAGUUUGAAUGAAGUUCAAUAGGAUUUUAACUAGAAUUAAAUUAAGAUUGAAUUGAGAUGUAUUUGAAUGACAUUUGUGUUCUUUCUAAUGUUUCUUUAAAAAUUCCUAUUGUUUGUUUAAAAUUUCUUUGAGAUUUUUUUGAAUUUGAUUAAGCUUGCUUAGCAUUAUUAUAGUCUAAUUAGAGCAUUGUUAGUAUUCUAUUA
RNAcentral lists this long non-coding RNA (440 nucleotides) under Physcomitrium patens. RNAcentral describes it as "long non-coding RNA (PPAT_LNC006676)". Lineage: Eukaryota; Viridiplantae; Streptophyta; Bryopsida; Funariales; Funariaceae. The record is from RNAcentral.